Molecule: ribosomal RNA, 460 nt
Filed under: uncultured bacterium
Lineage: Bacteria
Description: partial 16S ribosomal RNA
Rfam family: Bacterial small subunit ribosomal RNA
Source: RNAcentral
CCUACGGGGGACAGCAGUGAGGAAUAUUGGUCAAUGGGCGGAAGCCUGAACCAGCCAAGUCGCGUGAGGGAAUAAGGCCCUACGGGUCGUAAACCUCUUUUGCCGGGGAGCAAGGGCCGGGACGAGUCCCGGUCCGGAGAGUACCCGGAGGAAAAGCAUCGGCUAACUCCGUGCCAGCAGCCGCGGUAAUACGGAGGAUGCGAGCGUUAUCCGGAUUUAUUGGGUUUAAGGGGUGCGUAGGCGGGCUUUUAAGUCAGCGGUAAAAAUUCGGGGCUCAACCCCGUCCGGCCGUUGAAACUGGGGGCCUUGAGUGGGCGAGAGGAAGGCGGAAUGCGUGGUGUAGCGGUGAAAUGCAUAGAUAUCACGCAGAACCCCGAUUGCGAAGGCAGCCUUCCGGCGCCCUACUGACGCUGAGGCACGAAAGUGCGGGGAUCGAACAGGAUUAGAUACCCGAGUAGUC